GUUCCAAGUAAUUCUGUUGGAGCCUAUUGUAAAGUUAACAUCUGACGACAGCAGCUGAAACAGAAUCAUGAAUAACGAGUCAGAAGGAUGUUUGUGUAGUGCAAACCUUGUUAAUAUUGGAGUGUUGGGUGAUAAUAGCUGUAUUAUCCAAUAAAUAUAUUGUUUGUAAUCUGUAAAAGACUUGGUGUCUGAUUCUUAAUUACCUUUGUGAUUGGUUUAUGUAUUGUGGAUUAUAAAUCCAAAUAAUAUUGCUAAUACAUUAGUUUAAAUUUU
This is a non-coding RNA of Zootermopsis nevadensis, 273 nucleotides long. NCBI's taxonomy places the organism in Eukaryota, Metazoa, Arthropoda, Insecta, Blattodea, Termopsidae. The record is from RefSeq and is a predicted model, not a curated record.